RNAcentral lists this ribosomal RNA (301 nucleotides) under uncultured bacterium. RNAcentral's name for it is "partial 16S ribosomal RNA". It matches the Rfam family "Bacterial small subunit ribosomal RNA", at positions 509 to 807 of the family's 1533-position model. The record is from RNAcentral.
CAGCAGCCGCGGUAAUACAUAGGGUGCGAGCGUUAAUCGGAUUUACUGGGCGUAAAGCGUGCGUAGGCGGCUUUUUAAGUCGGAUGUGAAAUCCCUGAGCUUAACUUAGGAAUUGCAUUCGAUACUGGGAAGCUAGAGUAUGGGAGAGGAUGGUAGAAUUCCAGGUGUAGCGGUGAAAUGCGUAGAGAUCUGGAGGAAUACCGAUGGCGAAGGCAGCCAUCUGGCCUAAUACUGACGCUGAGGUACGAAAGCAUGGGGAGCAAACAGGAUUAGAUACCCCUGUAGUCCCUGUCUCUUAUAC